AUUGAACGCUGGCGGCAGGCCUAACACAUGCAAGUCGAGCGGAUGAAGGGAGCUUGCUCCUGGAUUCAGCGGCGGACGGGUGAGUAAUGCCUAGGAAUCUGCCUGGCAGUGGGGGAUAACGUCCGGAAACGGGCGCUAAUACCGCAUACGUCCUGAGGGAGAAAGUGGGGGAGCUUCGGACCUCACGCUAUCAGAUGAGCCUAGGUCGGAUUAGCUAGUUGGUGGGGUAAAGGCCUACCAAGGCGACGAUCCGUAACUGGUCUGAGAGGAUGAUCAGUCACACUGGAACUGAGACACGGUCCAGACUCCUACGGGAGGCAGCAGUGGGGAAUAUUGGACAAUGGGCGAAAGCCUGAUCCAGCCAUGCCGCGUGUGUGAAGAAGGUCUUCGGAUUGUAAAGCACUUUAAGUUGGGAGGAAGGGCAGUAAGUUAAUACCUUGCUGUUUUGACGUUACCAACAGAAUAAGCACCGGCUAACUUCGUG
RNAcentral lists this ribosomal RNA (484 nucleotides) under uncultured bacterium. RNAcentral describes it as "partial 16S ribosomal RNA". It matches the Rfam family "Bacterial small subunit ribosomal RNA", at positions 30 to 507 of the family's 1533-position model. The record is from RNAcentral.